CUGCCGUUAAGGAGAAGAGAGAGCACAACCUAGCUUAAGCCCAGCAGCGCUGGAGUCAGGGCCCAUUUUGCCCCCCCAGCCCCUCCACUCCUCCACUCCCAGUCUCUCUCCACGACAAGGCUCAGGUGCAGAUGAGGGGUCCCCAGCUGGGGACAGCUCUGUCCACAGAGCCCAAAAUAAGGGGAGGAAGCCUGGACUCUGCACACCAGUCCCAAUACUGCUGGAACUGCACAGAGCCCCGUGCAGGACUGGCUCAUACCUGGGCAAGAAGAGGCACAGGAAAUGUCAGCACUAAGCAGCUGCUGGCAGGUGGUGGGUGACAGCUGACAGCAGUCACCCCAGGCUCCAGGGGUCUGCUCGGAGCCCAGAGGGCAGAGCAGCAGAGCUCCAUCCCUCUCCCCUGUCUGUGCAGCCCUGGCCCCAAAAUGGGGUCACAAGAAACAAGAUUUAGAGGUGGGGGAGCAGCCUGUGCCUGCAGUUUCGCUCAACCCAUUUUGGGACUGAUCUUGUCGAGGCUGGUGCCUGCUCCUCAGCAAGCCCUUCCCCAGCCCCCUCCUGAACUGCUUUGAUUUCAAACAACAUCAAGAUUUCAUGCAGAGCCUGCAAGCUGGAGAUGUGGGAAGUGCCUCCUUCUUCCCCUGUUGCUCCAUACACAGCCAUGCUUGGCAAUUUGGAACGCAGGGGGACAGACACGGUUGUCAUACGCCCCACGGGUGCAGGCUGCACUGCUUCCUGUGCACUCAGGGCUAAGCACCUUCCCCAGGGCCCUGCAGCCAAAAGGAAGGUCUUGUUACUCAUUUCUUUUUAAUGGGCAUUCUGAACAUAAACAUUUCACUUCAAAGCAGCUCCCACGGUGGGCUAACCAGAGCAGACCGAGAACUUGGGGCACAUUCAAGAGUUCAGCAAACAAAUACAUGUCGGCGUUCAGAGGUGUCUGUAAAGGACACAGCGUCCCCAGUGGCACAGACAGACAGAUGGGGACAGUGGUCCCACCCCAGCCCCCGCAGCAGCACUUACGCAAAGAGGAAGACAGCACUCAAAUCCCGUGGUGGAGCAGCUCCCAGGUGCGUGGGGACUUCCCAGCUGGCGGGACCUGCCUCAGCCCGCUUCAGUCCUGGAGCCCUGUGGCAGUCGUGGCUCCUGCUGGUCCUUGUCAGAGGUAGUUGUGAAACAUGGGAGGCAACUGGCCUGAGGGUGAGGGGUUGCUCCCUGGGUCUGGAUCUGUGCCCAGGAUGAACCCAGCUGGUGCGGCCCCAGUGCCACACCCAGAGCUGUCCCUGUCCCCUCUCUGCCCACAGCUGGGCAGAACCCAUCCACAAGGGUCCCCCAGCUGCCCUCCCAGGAAUGCUUUUCCUGGUACAGCCAGGCUUGGGCACCCCAACAUGACUGAGGUCCCAAAGGGCUCUGACAGCCCAGAACUGCUCUGGGACUGGAUAGAACCCCCAGAAGGCACAGGUGGCCCCUGCUCUCCCCACAUCUCUGAUGGGGUACAGAGCACAGUAUAACAAAGGCACAUGCAAUGCUCAGAGUAGGGAGAAAGAACAGUCAUAACUUGGUAAUGCCACUAUCCCUACUACCAGUGAGCUAGAGUGCCCCACAGCACUUGCUGCCUCUGCUCCAUCCUAUUCUUCCUCCCACUGGCUCAACGCUCUGUGACCCAUGAGGUCUGGGAUGGACUGUGGGGGCAGUCACUCCUGCUUAGAGUGUUGUUCUUUCAUCAAGUGUUGCUCCCACUCUGCCUCCACGACCUUGUACAGCUCCAUGGUGGUCCUGGCGUCCUCCACUGAACAAUGUCCGCUUUUGCCAACCUGUUG
Molecule: long non-coding RNA, 1814 nt
Filed under: Gallus gallus (chicken)
Lineage: Eukaryota; Metazoa; Chordata; Aves; Galliformes; Phasianidae
Description: long non-coding RNA NONGGAT005320
Source: RNAcentral